UUCCUGAUUUUCCCAUCGUUCGGGGCAUUCUGGGGCUGUUUUGGCUAUUGGUUGCUUGUUUGGUCUUGAGCUGAACGGGUGGCUUCUAGUCCGGUGGCUUCGGGGAUGUUUUCCGUAAAGGUGGAUGAGUGGUGUUUGGUUUGUUACGUGUGGUUGGCUGCGGCGUUUGCAACAACUUCCAUGCUUUCAGACCUCUUCAGUUGUGCGGCAAGGCUUGUAUCGCCUUGAGCGUAAUGUGGGUUUUCUGUGCUGGCUACCUAAUCAACGGUAUCGGUUGGAUUGAUCAAAGUUUGAUUUCGUCUUCCGUCGCAUUCGUGGCGUGAGGCGAACCUCGACGCGGUCUCUUUGAUCCACCUCGUUGAAGCACGUGCUUCGACGUUGUGGCACAUUGAGCAUUGCUUGGUCUCUUGUAUACGGAACAUAUAGUGGGCAUGGAUCUAACGAUCCUCGUUUGCCCUCAUAUUAGCGUAACGCUUCUCUAACACGACUUGCGCCAUGUUUUAG
RNAcentral lists this unclassified non-coding RNA (504 nucleotides) under Artemisia splendens. Its description in RNAcentral is "external transcribed spacer". Lineage: Eukaryota; Viridiplantae; Streptophyta; Magnoliopsida; Asterales; Asteraceae. RNAcentral also lists the same sequence under 1 other name. The record is from RNAcentral.